GGGGUUGUAGCUCAGUGGUAGAGUGCUUGCGGCACACACAUGAGGCCCUGGGUUCAAUCCUCAGCACCACA
Molecule: transfer RNA, 71 nt
Filed under: Marmota monax (woodchuck)
Lineage: Eukaryota; Metazoa; Chordata; Mammalia; Rodentia; Sciuridae
Description: tRNA.Val
Source: RNAcentral